Molecule: long non-coding RNA, 1704 nt
Organism: Macaca fascicularis (crab-eating macaque)
Lineage: Eukaryota; Metazoa; Chordata; Mammalia; Primates; Cercopithecidae
Source: Ensembl
AGAUCGCGCCAUUGCACUCCAGCCUGGGUGACAGAGUGAGACUCCGUCUCAAAAAAAAAAAAAAAAGAAGACAGGUUAUUAUGUGCUAUUUAGUAUUACCUAGAAAGGAUUACUGGCAUUGACCUUUCCCUCCUGUGAAGAUACUUCUAACAUAUAUGAAACCCAAGGGACCAGAUACUGGUUCCACUGUGAUGAGUGUCAGAAUUCUUGUAACCUCUUUUUUCCUCAUUAGUAUCUGUCAUGGUAGGUUGUUGGCUCUGACGAUGUCAUAAUGCUUUGUUUGUAGGGUCAUCCGACACUACUUUUUCCAUAGGAACAAUCAGCUUUUAGGCAAAGUGAACCUUGGACAGUAAAACCUGAUCUUCUGAGGUCAUAGAAAUAAAGACAUCUCAAAGAAAAUAUACUGGAAACUUCUUUAAGUUUUCCUCUUUCAUUGGGAUACGUGGGUUUCCUCACUGUUGUAAUGUUGAUGACACAACAGGGCUAACACCGGAUAUGCUUCUGGUUGAUUCCGGUUUACCAAGAGCAUCCAAACGUCCCUCAAGGACACAGUCAUUUUGCACAACAAAGGGAAACUCCGCUCAUUUCUGGCAUUAGGGUGGACAUCUGAGAGAGGGGAGGGUAUACCACCGUAACUUCUCUAGUGAUGAGUAGUGUUUAAUAUUAUGCCAUAGACUAACUGGCGUAUUUUAAAGAUCUUUUUCCUUUUUGAACACAUUUCAGAUUAGAGAAGUUCCAGAGAACGUAAUCUAUUUUAAGAGUGUGAAACAGUGAUAUUCUGCAUUGCUUUUAUAUCUUAAAGAAAUUUCUAAAAAGAAAGCCGAGUCAAUAAAAUGACAGAUUUUAAGCCUUCAUUCUGGUAACAUAAAAGUCUUCUACUCAUUGUGUCUGCCACCUUAAUUUUUAAAGAUAGAGCAUGAGGUGCAAGCUUUUGGCUUCCAUUUUCCUCUUAUAAACCAAUGACAUCUUCAGUUCCAGAAUAGCUUUUUUAAAACGUGACUUCUGAUAAAUGUUGGCAGAACUGGUGCAUUCCUAAAAUAAAUUAUGUAUGCUCAGCUUUCCCUACCCAAGUUCAUCCCUAACUGACCACAAAACUGCCCACCACGAAAUAGGCUUAAGAGAAGUCUGGACAUAAUGGUCUAAGUGUAUAUAACACAACACUGGUAUAUUUUUAAAAAUUCAGUAUGUUUAAAAAAAUUCAUGCCUAGGGUCAAUUCUGAUAAUCAAAUUUAGACUGCCGCAACAACCGUAACUACUGUUGAUACAUGCGAAGUUUAAAACUGAAGGGCUGGGGUAAGGGGCAGAAACUGUACACAACAAACUUCCAAAUUUUCUCUCCCCUUUCAGGCAAGUUUCAGCUCCACAAAUCUAAAUACCCUCGCCUUUAAAAUAUCAGUGUCGUUUUGCUCUUAAAUCCUCAUCCCGUUGUACAAGGAAACCUAUGUCUCUCUUCCCCAGAUUAACAAUACGAGAAGCUUUCCAGGUCUACAAGGACCAGAAAGCAGCUGCGCGGGAAGUUUCAUGGGGCCCCAAGGCUCUCAGAGUGGGCUUGACGGUAUGGAAAACACAUCCCAAGAGAAAAAUCUGUGAACCGCACAGCUGUGUUUGGAAAACCAAAACGAAAUAGAAAAAAAUCUGAGCUGAUCCGGACGGCAUCAGGAUUACGCGGUACACAAGAAGAAAACAACCGUAGCCGGGUCAAAA